CAACGCCGCGUGGAGGAUGAAGUCCCUUGGGACGUAAACUCCUUUCGGACCGGGACGAUAAUGACGGUACCGGUGGAAGAAGCCCCGGCUAACUUCGUGC
This 100-nucleotide ribosomal RNA is filed under the name uncultured bacterium. RNAcentral describes it as "partial 16S ribosomal RNA". It matches the Rfam family "Bacterial small subunit ribosomal RNA", at positions 392 to 508 of the family's 1533-position model. The record is from RNAcentral.